This is a long non-coding RNA of Bactrocera neohumeralis, 5154 nucleotides long. RefSeq lists it as uncharacterized. The record is from RefSeq and is a predicted model, not a curated record. NCBI's taxonomy places the organism in Eukaryota, Metazoa, Arthropoda, Insecta, Diptera, Tephritidae. The transcript is spliced from 2 exons.
AUUAUAAUUCUUAUAUUAGUUAUAUUUUUCGAAGAAAGAACAUUUAAAUAUUAUAAAGAAUCAUAAAGUUUUGUAGUAAAUCUAAAUUUAUUAUUUAAAAAGUUAAGUUUUAUAAUUAUAUUUUUUGAAGGAAAUAUGUAUAUAUUAUGCAAAUAUCCACAAUUUUUGUCUAUAUAACAAAAAAUGUAAUUUAAAAAUAAUGAAAAUUAAUUUAUUUAAAAAAAAAAUAAAAAGUUUUUCUUUUUAAAUAUUCAAAAACUUAUUUUUUCAAAAUAUUUUAUAAUUAAUUUAUUGUAAAUAUUUAUGCAGCAAGUGCAUCAGUCGCACGGCAUUACAAAUAUAGUAUUAACAGCACGUUUCCGAAUCUUUAUUUGUGCACUAUAAAAUAUAAAUGAAAAAUUGUAAGUGAAAUAUAAAAAUAUAGCACAAAAAUUAAUUGUUAAUAUUAUGAAGUAAUUAAAUUAAUUAUUUAAAAUUUACUGUAAAAACUAUACACCACCACACAGGCUUCCUGCAAUAAUAGUUAGUAAAAACGAGAAUUGAAAUGCUUAAAUGUUUCGAAAAAUUAUAAGAAAAUGUAAAAUAUUUAAAAAAUAUACAAAAAAUAUACGGCAUGAGUAGGAAUAUUAUAAGAUGUGCUAUGAUUAACACACAUAAAUUAAAUAUACAUAAAUGAAGAGCAACAAGCUAGAAGUGCGGCUACAAAAAGCAGAACUUCAAGAAGGCGAUGAAAUAUUUAAAAAAAUUAUUUAAAAAUAUAUAUUAGUUUGUUAAAACCCUCAAUAAAUUUUUACACCAGUGGGCUAAAACGUCAGGAAACAAAAUCUCUUUGUGAAAUAAAAAUUAUUUUUUAAGCGCCUACAAAUAUGCAGCGGCCGAAAAUGUAACGAAGUUAUAAAAUAAUUUCAAUUAUUGCAAUAAGCCAAACAUUUUCUCAUUUGAAAGCCUAAAAAUAUACCUUUGUACAAUUUUUUACAAUUCGCUCCUAAAAGUAGGCAACAUAUGGCUGAAAACUUCAAUUACUUUUCUUCAGUGGCGUUACAUGGCACUUAGCAGCCCUAAUACCUUCUCAAAAUAUAUUUUUUAUUCCUACAGACAACAUAUGCUUAUCAAAAUGUAUGGAAAAUAAUAUUCUGCAUAUAAAAACCUUACUAAUAUUUAAUUUCCAACAAAUACAAAGCAAAAAUAUCAGAAACCUCUAAAACCUUCAUCAAUUAGCAGGCCUUUAAAAUCGCAUAUUGCAUAUGAAUUCAAAUCAACAUUUAUAAACAAACUACUUAAGUAUGUAUGUACAUAUGUAUGUAACUGUUUACCACUUGCCAUGUGCGUUUUAUUGUGCAAUAAAAGUGUAUUUUGUCACUAUGCUAAUCAAGCUAAAUUUAUUCUAUGCACCUUUGGGCACCUUUGAAUAUGUAUGCUUGUAUAUAUUGGCGUGUGUCACUAAUUAAAUUUAUUGUUGUUGUUUUUUCUACUCAUUACGACGCAAUUAUAUGUGUUCAAGUUAUGUGCUCGUAGUUAAAUGUAUAUUUCUGCAAUUAGUAAGUAGCCAAAUUUGAAGAAAAAAUUAUACUUUUUUGCAACUAAACUAUUUAUAUGUACUAUAUAUGUGUGCGUGUAUAUAUGUUACUCACAUUAUAAUUUAAUAAAAAUUUAAAGAAGGCAAAUAAGCGGCUCAUUACUUAAAAUCAUGCAUAUAUACUUUGAAUGUAUGCGAAUUCCCUUUCCGGCAAGUACCCGCCCAUUUAAGUCAGAGCAAAUCAAAGAAAAACAAGUGGAAACCCCCAAAAGAACAUCAAUACUAGCAUAUAGCAUAGAAAGGUGUUGAGAUAUAUUAAUAAAAUCUUAACUAUACAAAUUUAUAUAUAAAAAACUGAAAUUAGCGAAAAUUGAAAAAAUAUUAUCUAAAUAUAUUGCCACUUUUACAAAGUGAUCGAAGCUGUUUAAGUAAAAAAAAAUCUUGAAAGCUAACCACAUAUUUAUACGCUUUUCUAGUGCUUUAAAUAUUAUUAAUACGAAGACAUAUUUUAAUCUUAAUAUUAUUUUUAAAUUUUUUACACGAAUUUUCCUAUUUAAAUUAUGAUAAAAAAUAAUACACAAGCAUAAGCAUAUUUUCACAUUUAAGAAAUAUAUGUGACGAAAACUGAAGUAUAGUUUCAGGCAUAUCUGAGCAUAUAGUGGAGAAAUAUUCUGCUUUCAAAACUAUGAGCCUAUCCUCCACCUGCCUUUAUUUUAAUUUUUUUGUCCUACAUUUUUGUGAGUUCAAAAUCUUACACUUCACUUGAACAUAGAAAAACUGUAUAGCACACUUUUAGGCACAACUUUUCUCUAGUUAUACUCAAUUAAGAGAAGCACACUUUUAGGCAUAACAUGCCCCAUUUUCUAGCAGACUUUUUGGUUCCUCACACUCUUUUUUUUGUUAAUUUUGAUCUCUUCUUCCCUUUCAGACAUACUGAACAAUGCUUAAUGCAAAAUAAGCACCAUAACUAAAUUAAAUUGAUACAUUCCACCUACUUUAAGCGUACAACACAAAAUUUAAUUUCUUCAAAAACAUAUGCACUCAAAUUGCAAACAAGCAAGCACAGUUUUAGGCGCCAAGCAAUGCACAACGUAUUUGUAUUUGAAUUUCACAAACAAAUUAACUAAUUUGAAUGCCGAUUGAAUGUAAAAUAUUAUUAUUAUUAGCACUCAUAUAUGUAAAUAUCUAUUUUACUAAUAUAACAAGCACAAAAAUUUUUUAGGCAUAUAUUUAGGCGCACAUUUUGCACAAACGGCACAAAAUACUAUUUAGAAGCACAAAGCACAGUUUUAGGCGCCUAUGCACAUCACCAAAAUAUUUGACGUAUACCUUUAGGCGCACAUUUUCCACAAACAGCACGAAAUAAUAUUUUGCAGCACGAAGCACAGUUUUAGGCGCCAAACUAACACCUAAGCACUUGUAUUAAACGCUACUAAUAUUGAAAUUCAAAGCACAAAAAUUUUUGAGGUAUACCUUUAGGCGCAUUAACGGCACAAAAUAAUAUUUAGCAGCACAAAGCACAGAUUUAGGCGCCAUAUGCACAUUAAGUACAUGUAUUAAACGCUACUAAUAUUGAACUUAUAUUCUAACUUGCUUUCACUAACAAUUCUGACCUUUUGUUCUAACUUACUUUCACUUUGCACAUAGCACAUUGCACUAGCCGUUUCUGUAAGAAUUUAAGCUAUACAAAUAAGUACUUUAUUUAAUUAAAGCUUUAUUUUAAUUUUUUUAUCGUUUUUCUUCUCUGACUAAGUAAUUUUUUAUACCUCUCCGUUUUUCGAUGCAUAGUUUUAGGUGCUUUCAUUUUCUCCUACAUUUUUUUCCAGCACAUUUUCUAUUUUGAGGCACAUUCGUUUUAUCCUGCACUUAGUAUGACUAAUUUUUGUGAAAAAUAAAUUAUUUCGGAGACCUCAAGCACCAUGCACAUAUUAUUUCAAGCACACUUUUAGGCGCAUAAUAACUCAAAUAGCAAAUGCACUUCUAGAAAUUAAUAUAUGAGCGCUCUUAAAGACUAUGGCACCACACAUUGCACAACAUGCACAUAAAAAAUCAAUGCACUCGCGCACUUUCUUGUUUUCACGUAUACCCAUGGCUGUAUGCAUAGUGAAGCAAAGGACAAAGCACUGCUGAUUGCAUCAAAUGGAUUUAACAUAAGCAAAGUUUAAAUAAUACUUAAGAAACUGAUUCAGCUCCCAAACAGCUUACAAUGCUUCAACAUAAGAGACAUUGGACACCUGGAGAGGAAAAAAUCGGACUUUUUACCAAAUCGAAUGAGUUGCUGGCUAAGGCUUAAUUUGAUUAUCACUCGGGCGUACAAUGGGCCUAAUGAUGGCUUGAGUAUGAUGGCCUAUGGUCUCAUGAACCUUCCUUUUUAGCCAACAACAAAUUCGACUGAAAAUUCAUUGGGUUUCCUUUUUACCAAAAUCGCUGCUUUGCGCUUUGCUUGACUAUGUGCUUGGCCUAAUGCACAGUGUAUUACUCUAAAAGUACUCAAAUCAUAAUUGUUUGAAUUUCAAUUAUUGUAAAUUAUAUUUUUUUCCUAGUUAAACGAAUUUAAUUGGAAAAAAAUUUUAUUUAAUUUAAGUUAAAAUUUUAUAUUUUUUUUAUUAGGCAGCAGUUGAUCUCAUUGUAAAAGUGGUUAUUUGGAACGACUUAAUAAAAUAAUUAUAAAUCAGAAGAACAUCAAUUUAUUAAACUUAACAAAAUUAAAAAAAGUAUUUAUAAAAAAUAUUCAAAAGAUAUUUAAAAAAAUUAAAUUAAACUUAAAAAAUUAAGCCUACAAAAUUAAUUUUUGUAAAAUAAAAGCUCUGUAACAAAUAAUCGACUGAACACUCUAAUUAAUUAUAGAAUAAUGUUAAAUGAAAUGUAUUAGCUAAAAUUAAAACCAAAAAAAUUAAUAUGCAGCUUAAAAAUUAUAAAUUAUUUGAACUUAAAAAAUAUCAUAUAUAUACCAACAAAAUAUAUAAAAAAAAAAUAAAUUUGAUUUAUAACAUCUUAAGACAUAUAUGAAAGAAAGAAAUUACGAAAAGCUUAACCAGAAAAUUAACCAAAUAAUUAACUUAAAGUUCACUAAGCACAUCAAAAUUAUGCAAUAAUAACAACAUAACUGAAACAUAUAAGCUAACUGUAAACACAAAUCACAUGGUAUACUGGUUUGCAGCUAAAUUAAAAUAUAGAAAUCUCAGCGAGUUCUCGAAAACAUUAUUGAAUGUGUAUUUUAUGUGUAUUUUCUUGCUCCCAGCCACACACGAACAAAAUAUUUAUAGUUAUUAAUUUCAAUUGCUAAUAUUAUAAAAGUACAUAAUACUUGCAUAUAAUCAGCAAAAGCGUAAGAAACCUUAAUAUAUAUAUAAAUAUAAUACAUACAUAUAUAUAAUUGACUUGAAAGCACAAAGCAAAAUCCAAAAAAUAAUUAAAUUGAAGUAAAAUAUUAAAGUAAUUGCAGUCUGUAAAAACAAUAGAUCAUCAUUGUAAAUGCAUAUGAAAGUUCCAAUAGCAGUGAAUAAUGUAUUUCCAACAAAUGUAUGCAUUACUUAUAUAGUCUACAACUCACAUACAAAGAAGUAUAUAUAAAAAAGUAAUAAACUAUGAAAUUAAAAGAAUAAAGAGAAAUGUUUGAAAGGAAAACAAAAAUAUAA